This 646-nucleotide long non-coding RNA is filed under the name Vulpes vulpes (red fox). RNAcentral's name for it is "lncRNA (ENSVVUG00000002776.1)". The record is from RNAcentral. Lineage: Eukaryota; Metazoa; Chordata; Mammalia; Carnivora; Canidae.
UGUAUGACCUCACCUUGGAAGCGAUGUCAUCCCUGCUGCCACCUACUAUUGACUAGAAGCAAGUAAGCCCCACCUACAUGCCCAGGUGGGAAUCCCAACAGGAUGGGGAGGAUCAGUGGGUCUUUAGGGUUUGUGGCCACACCACGUAGGGUCGUCCCGGGAUCCCUCCAUAGGCUCAUCAAGGGGCUGGCCAUAGACCUUGGGGGGAGUAGACAACUAUGUGAGCAGAGGGCUGGGUGGGGGGUGCAUGCAGACCUGCACAGGCCUGGGUGGUUCCCCCGAGGUUGUCCAUUGGGUUGACAUGUUGGCUGCUCUGCUGGCAGGAACCCUCCCUCCAGGUGCAGGAAGCCCCUGUGAACUUGGAACCUCCCCGCCCCAGGGCUUGGAGACCAGGUGGAACAGGGGAGGCCAUCAGGCUGGACAGAGCAGCAGGGAUGGAGAGAGGCGACCCAGUCCUUGGAUCUCUGCGGGGCUGUCCCUGCCACUCUGGGGAUGCUGGGCAGACGUCACAGGCUGGGUCUCCACCCUGAGGACGUUCCAGGUCAGGGUGGUCUCCAGAGGUGGCGCUGCCUGGCCUGGCCCUGGAGUUAGCAUCCGAUGGCUCUACCCUCCUGCUGCCCCAUCGCGUCUGCUGCCCACUGGCUGA